GUGCCAGCAGCCGCGGUAAAACGUAGGAGGCAAGCGUUAUCCGGAGUUACUGGGCGUAAAGCGCGUGCAGGUGGGUUAUUAAGUCACUUAUGAAAGCUCCCGGCUAAACUGGGAGAGGCUGAGUGAAACUGGUAGCCUUGAGUAGAGGAGAGGUAGACGGAAUUCCGCGUGUAGUGGUGAAAUGCGUAGAGAUGCGGAAGAACACCAGUGGCGAAGGCGGUCUACUGGCCUCUAACUGACACUCAGACGCGACAGCAUGGGUAGCUAACGGGAUUAGAAACCCCGGUAGUCCAUGCCGUAAACGAUGCACACGAGACGUUCGCAGUCAAUGGCUGUGAGUGUCGCAGCAAACGCGAUAAGUGUGCCGCCUGGGGAGUACGGUCGCAAGGCUACAACUUAAAUGAAUUGACGGGG
Molecule: ribosomal RNA, 414 nt
Filed under: uncultured prokaryote
Description: bacterial SSU rRNA
Rfam family: Bacterial small subunit ribosomal RNA
Source: RNAcentral